This 371-nucleotide unclassified non-coding RNA is filed under the name soil metagenome. Its description in RNAcentral is "partial contains 5.8S ribosomal RNA, internal transcribed spacer 2, and large subunit ribosomal RNA". The stretch from base 1 to 120 matches the Rfam family "5.8S ribosomal RNA", at positions 35 to 154 of the family's 154-position model. The record is from RNAcentral.
GAUGAAGAACGUAGCGAAAUGCGUUAAGUAAUGUGAAUUGCAGAAUUCAGUGAAUCAUCGAAUCUUUGAACGCACAUUGCGCCCCCUGGAAUUCCGGGGGGCAUGCCUGUUCGAGCGUCUCAGGGACGAACCCUCGCGCGGGUGUACGCGCGGUCGUGGCUGCGGUGGCGUGCCCGAGGCGGCGGCCACCGGGCUGGAAUCCAUGGGCGGACGCCUGCCGCGUGGCCGAGCGUGAUAUGACGCAUUGGCGCUCGCACGCGGCGAGGCUGCCAGCCCUGGCCCGUCUGUCGGGCGGGGGAGAGCAAGACACGUGAACUCCUCGAAUCAGGUAGGGAUACCCGCUGAACUUAAGCAUAUCAAUAAGCGGAGGA